RNAcentral lists this ribosomal RNA (253 nucleotides) under uncultured bacterium. RNAcentral describes it as "partial 16S ribosomal RNA". It matches the Rfam family "Bacterial small subunit ribosomal RNA", at positions 524 to 776 of the family's 1533-position model. The record is from RNAcentral.
UACGGAGGAUCCAAGCGUUAUCCGGAUUCAUUGGGUUUAAAGGGUGCGUAGGCGGACUGAUAAGUCAGCGGUGAAAUCCCACGGCUCAACUGUGGAACUGCCGUUGAUACUGUUAGUCUUGAAUGCAGAUGAUGUGGGCGGAAUAUGACAUGUAGUGGUGAAAUACUUAGAUAUGCCAUAGAACACCGAUUGCGAAGGCAGCUCACAAAACUGUGAUUGACGCUGAGGCACGAAAGCGUGGGGAUCAAACAGG